This 498-nucleotide ribosomal RNA is filed under the name uncultured bacterium. RNAcentral's name for it is "partial 16S ribosomal RNA". It matches the Rfam family "Bacterial small subunit ribosomal RNA", at positions 30 to 523 of the family's 1533-position model. The record is from RNAcentral.
AUUGAACGCUGGCGGCAUGCCUUACACAUGCAAGUCGAACGGUAACAGGUCUUCGGAUGCUGACGAGUGGCGAACGGGUGAGUAAUGCAUCGGAACGUGCCCAGUUGUGGGGGAUAACUGCUCGAAAGAGCAGCUAAUACCGCAUACGACCUGAGGGUGAAAGCGGGGGAUCGCAAGACCUCGCGCAAUUGGAGCGGCCGAUGUCAGAUUAGGUAGUUGGUGGGGUAAAGGCCUACCAAGCCGACGAUCUGUAGUUGGUCUGAGAGGACGACCAGCCACACUGGGACUGAGACACGGCCCAGACUCCUACGGGAGGCAGCAGUGGGGAAGUUUGGACAAUGGGCGCAAGCCUGACCCAGCAAUGCCGCGUGCAGGAAGAAGGCCUUCGGGUUGUAAACUGCUUUUGUCAGGGAAGAAAUCCUCUGGGUUAAUACCCCGGGGGGAUGACGGUACCUGAAGAAUAAGCACCGGCUAACUACGUGCCAGCCGCCGCCGUAA